UGGCGGACGGGUGAGUAAUGUCUGGGAAACUGCCCGAUGGAGGGGGGUAACUACUGGAAACGGUAGCUAAUACCGCAUAAUGUCUACGGACCAAAGCGGGGGACCUCCGGGCCUCGCGCCAUCAGAUGAACCCAUAUGGGAUUAGCUAGUAGGUAAGGUAACGGCUUACCUAGGCGACGAUCCCUAGCUGGUCUGAGAGGAUGAUCAGCCACACUGGGACUGAGACACGGCCCAG
RNAcentral lists this ribosomal RNA (235 nucleotides) under uncultured bacterium. RNAcentral's name for it is "partial 16S ribosomal RNA". It matches the Rfam family "Bacterial small subunit ribosomal RNA", at positions 96 to 334 of the family's 1533-position model. The record is from RNAcentral.